UAGGGAGUUGUAUAUUUGCUCAGGAUGAACGCUGGCGGCGUGCUAAUACAUGCAAGUCGAACGCUUUGUGGUUCAACUGAUUUGAAGAGCUUGCUCAGAUAUGACGAUGGACAUUGCAAAGAGUGGCGAACGGGUGAGUAACACGUGGGAAACCUACCUCUUAGCAGGGGAUAACAUUUGGAAACAGAUGCUAAUACCGUAUAACAAUAGCAACCGCAUGGUUGCUACUUAAAAGAUGGUUCUGCUAUCACUAAGAGAUGGUCCCGCGGUGCAUUAGUUAGUUGGUGAGGUAAUGGCUCACCAAGACGAUGAUGCAUAGCCGAGUUGAGAGACUGAUCGGCCACAAUGGGACUGAGACACGGCCCAUACUCCUACGGGAGGCAGCAGUAGGGAAUCUUCCACAAUGGGCGAAAGCCUGAUGGAGCAACGCCGCGUGUGUGAUGAAGGGUUUCGGCUCGUAAAACACUGUUGUAAGAGAAGAAUGACAUUGAGAGUAACUGUUCAAUGUGUGACGGUAUCUUACCAGAAAGGAACGGCUAAAUACGUGCCAGCAGCCGCGGUAAUACGUAUGUUCCAAGCGUUAUCCGGAUUUAUUGGGCGUAAAGCGAGCGCAGACGGUUAUUUAAGUCUGAAGUGAAAGCCCUCAGCUCAACUGAGGAAUUGCUUUGGAAACUGGAUGACUUGAGUGCAGUAGAGGAAAGUGGAACUCCAUGUGUAGCGGUGAAAUGCGUAGAUAUAUGGAAGAACACCAGUGGCGAAGGCGGCUUUCUGGACUGUAACUGACGUUGAGGCUCGAAAGUGUGGGUAGCAAACAGGAUUAGAUACCCUGGUAGUCCACACCGUAAACGAUGAGUGCUAGGUGUUUGAGGGUUUCCGCCCUUAAGUGCCGCAGCUAACGCAUAAGCACUCCGC
RNAcentral lists this ribosomal RNA (912 nucleotides) under Weissella cibaria. Its description in RNAcentral is "bacterial SSU rRNA". It matches the Rfam family "Bacterial small subunit ribosomal RNA", at positions 1 to 872 of the family's 1533-position model. The record is from RNAcentral. Lineage: Bacteria; Bacillati; Bacillota; Bacilli; Lactobacillales; Lactobacillaceae.